GACUCCAGGGAAGCGAUUUGGGAACUUCUGGGUCUACUGGGAGAGUAAAGGAUCUUCAGAGCAAGACAGAAGAGCCCAGAAAGGAGCAGAUCGCAGAUUUGCAAGGUCAGAAGCAGUUCUUUUUCUCCCUGCCCAGAAUGAGCCUGACUUAGUGAUGACGCCACCUUCAGAAGCUACCACACAGUGAGGGGUUUGGAACAUCCUUGAGAAGAGCAAGAUUGAUUAGAAAUGUGCUGUUGCUGGCAUCAGUGUCAUUCAAGGACAUGACUGGAGUUCGCCAGGAGGAGGGGCGGCAGGUGGACUCUGCGCAGAGAGGUGAUGAUGCUGGAGAGCUACAGCCACCUCGUCUCCGUGGCAGUGUCUGAGAGUUCUCAUUGCUCUUUGGUUACCAACAUUUGGUGUGAUACUUUUCCUCCUGUGUCCUCCUUCAAAAUGAGUACCUCCCGUUUGCAUGGAUGCCAGAGCUAAAGACUCAAGCAACAUCUUUGAGUCUUCCCUCUCCCUUGGUACCCAGUCUCUCAUCCCACCACCAACCAGUCAGUCAGUGCUGGUUAUUACAGUUCCUAAACAGCUCUCAAAUACUUCUACUUUUCUUCAUCCUUUCUGAACCACCAGAGUCCAAGUAACCAACUGAAUAACUGGAUGACCUUAAUAACCUCCUGCCUCUGAGCCUCAAUUUCCUGGUUUGUAAAAUGAGACAGUCAGAAUGAACACCAAGUUUAUUCCUUCUCUGUAUCCUGUGAUUAUAAGAAUUUAAAACCGAGAGGCUCAGGGCAAAAUCAAUUCCAGUGCUUCGGGAGACCAUCUCACUUUCUCCGUUAAAUUAAACUUUGCGGUGACCCAGAUUGUGCCUCAUAUCCUCCCAUAGCACUGCUCUCAAGGACAAUCUCAGGGUCUUCAAGACAACUUAUAAUGAGGCCUUUUCUCUUAAAUAGGGAUCUGCCUUAUGCCACGUUUUAAGCUGUAGAAAAUACUUUAGAAUUAGAUUCUAAUAUCAGCAACAAAUUUAUUUACCUGGUUUUGUUAAUUUAUCUGAAAGCUCCUAUUCUUGAAAAUGUCCCAUGUGAGGGAAAAAAAAGUCCCGUGUAAAGAUUUAGUCCAUCUUUGUUAACUACUUCUUGACUGUUUAUUAAAAAAACCUGGAUAGGUGAUUGCAGGGAGGGGCAGUGAUGAAGGAGUUUGAUUGAUUUUUUGUUUUUUUGGUUUUUUUU
Long non-coding RNA from Diceros bicornis minor, 1211 nucleotides. RefSeq lists it as uncharacterized. The transcript has 5 exons. Lineage: Eukaryota; Metazoa; Chordata; Mammalia; Perissodactyla; Rhinocerotidae. The record is from RefSeq and is a predicted model, not a curated record.